RNAcentral lists this ribosomal RNA (411 nucleotides) under uncultured Gemmata sp. RNAcentral's name for it is "bacterial SSU rRNA". It matches the Rfam family "Bacterial small subunit ribosomal RNA", at positions 355 to 774 of the family's 1533-position model. Lineage: Bacteria; Pseudomonadati; Planctomycetota; Planctomycetia; Gemmatales; Gemmataceae. The record is from RNAcentral.
UCGAGGAUCUUCGGCAAUGGGGGCAACCCUGACCGAGCGACGCCGCGUGCGCGACGAAGGCCUUCGGGUUGUAAAGCGCUGUCGAGGGGGAGAAAGGCCGAAAGGCUUGAUCUAGCCCUGGAGGAAGCUCGGGCUAAGUUCGUGCCAGCAGCCGCGGUAAGACGAACCGAGCGAACGUUGUUCGGAAUCACUGGGCUUAAAGGGCGCGUAGGCGGGCGGCCGCGUCCGGGGUGAAAUCCCACGGCUCAACCGUGGAACGGCCCCGGGUACGGGUCGCCUGGAGGGGGGUAGGGGCGUGCGGAACUGUGCGUGGAGCGGUGAAAUGCGUUGAUAUGCACAGGAACUCCGGUGGCGAAGGCGGCACGCUGGACCCUCCCUGACGCUGAGGCGCGAAAGCCAGGGGAGCGAACG